CCUGACGGGAGGCAGCAGUGGGGAAUAUUGCACAAUGGGGGAAACCCUGAUGCAGCGACGCCGCGUGGAGGAAGAAGGUCUUCGGAUUGUAAACUCCUGUUGUUGAGGAAGAUAAUGACGGUACUCAACAAGGAAGUGACGGCUAACUACGUGC
This 154-nucleotide ribosomal RNA is filed under the name uncultured bacterium. Its description in RNAcentral is "partial 16S ribosomal RNA". It matches the Rfam family "Bacterial small subunit ribosomal RNA", at positions 338 to 508 of the family's 1533-position model. The record is from RNAcentral.